RNAcentral lists this transfer RNA (68 nucleotides) under Hoploplana elisabelloi. Its description in RNAcentral is "tRNA-Glu". Lineage: Eukaryota; Metazoa; Platyhelminthes; Polycladida; Hoploplanidae. The record is from RNAcentral.
CUAAUGUUAGUGUAAAAGAGCACAUUAAGCUUUCUACUUAAAAGGGAUCUUUGUAAGAUCACAUUAGA